UAUCAGAGUGAGAUUAAGCCAUGCGAGUCAACGUAGCAAUACGUGGCACACGGCUCAGUAACACGUAGUCAACAUAACCAAAGGACGUGGAUAAACUCGGGAAACUGAGGCUAAACCGCGAUAGAUCAAGAUAUCUGGAAUGGUUUUUGAUCGAAAUCUAUAUGGCCUUUGGAUUGGACUGCGUCCGAUCAGGCUGUUGGUGAGGUAAUGGCCCACCAAACCUGUAACCGGUACGGGCUCUGAGAGGAGGAGCCCGGAGAUGGGUACUGAGAAAAGGACCCAGGCCCUAUGGGGCGCAGCAGGCGCGAAACCUCUGCAAUAGGCGAAAGCCUGACAGGGUUACUCUGAGUGACUUUCGCUAAGAAAGUCUUUUGACACCUCUAAAAAUGGUGUAGAAUAAGGGGUGGGCAAG
This 412-nucleotide ribosomal RNA is filed under the name uncultured archaeon CRE-PA8a. RNAcentral describes it as "bacterial SSU rRNA". It matches the Rfam family "Archaeal small subunit ribosomal RNA", at positions 31 to 450 of the family's 1478-position model. The record is from RNAcentral.